GGGAAACUUUAUUGCUGAUGCCACCCGCCGCGAAGUUGAAAUAAAAAACCCGAUGCGCAGAUCAUCGGGUUCAUUUCA
Molecule: small RNA, 78 nt
Filed under: Escherichia coli
Lineage: Bacteria; Pseudomonadati; Pseudomonadota; Gammaproteobacteria; Enterobacterales; Enterobacteriaceae
Description: C0465
Rfam family: C0465 RNA
About the family: This family consists of a number of bacterial RNA genes of 78 bases in length which are found between the tar and cheW genes in E. coli and Shigella flexneri.
Source: RNAcentral